AAAAGUUUGAUUCUUGCUUUCAUUUUUAUUAAAAUUUACACUCAUGUUUACUUUAUAAAUUUAUUUUUAAGCAGAAUCUAAAAUUAAAAACAAUUUAAAAAAUGUUUUAGUAAAUUAAAAU
RNAcentral lists this ribosomal RNA (121 nucleotides) under Streptosyllis sp. THS1. RNAcentral's name for it is "12S ribosomal RNA". The record is from RNAcentral. Lineage: Eukaryota; Metazoa; Annelida; Polychaeta; Phyllodocida; Syllidae.